This is a long non-coding RNA of Corythoichthys intestinalis (scribbled pipefish), 990 nucleotides long. RefSeq lists it as uncharacterized. Lineage: Eukaryota; Metazoa; Chordata; Actinopteri; Syngnathiformes; Syngnathidae. The record is from RefSeq and is a predicted model, not a curated record. The transcript has 4 exons.
GUAGAUUGUCACUGUCAGUCGACGAAUACUACCGGGUUACUGCAGUUCCUUCUACACAGCAAGACGUCCAACACAUGCGCUCAUCGGUUAAAAGUGACCGGAUAUGAACAAUCAUCCGGAUUCCUCCAGUGCAUUCAUGAGAGCUAAAGGAGUAACCGCCCACUACGGAUCACAUCACUCAGAACAGAUUCACAGCAGCUGCUGGAGUAGCUGUGCGGAACGCCUUCCUCCGGCUCGGACAGCGGCCCCCUGCCAUUCUCCUCUGGACCCCUCUUGCCCUUGUUCCUUCUUCCCAGCAUGUCGUUGUGCUGGCUGGGCUUCAUAGAGCAGUCCAUCUGAGGGGAACAAAUUCACUGGGAAACAUCCCACUGACUAGUGGAACAGCAGCUGAUGAAGCCUCAGCCCAGCCUGUGUUUGAACCGGUCUCCACGGUAACACUGAUUGGCCAUAAUUAGCAUCAAGAGUGACAGGCAGUAACCCUUCUCCGCCCACCAAUCUGUCCAAAUCAAUCAACUUUUUACAGCGCUCUUCUUUAUGUAUUGGUCAAUAAAGUACUUGUGGUUUCAGGCUAAUGAUAACGACCACUACGUCUAAGCAGUCAAAUGGGAACAAAACAAUUAAGAGACUUUUGACACAUAAAAUCAAAAAGUGAUUAGCUUAAGUCCCCUGAAAGUGACACUCCCACUUCAACACACAAAUACACAAACUGGUGCGGAUCAUUUCACAAGCAUUCUUCUUCUUACGAAGCCGUUUGGCAGCUUAUCAACACCUCCCGGAAUGAGUGCAUGAAUAAUUGAGGCCUCUCCACAAGCCAUCAGUGGCCUGACAAAGUGGAUUGCCGUUUCCAAGCAAGUUAGGGUGUCAGAGUUGAGGAGUUCAGGAAUGAUGGGUGUGAUGAGAAGAGAUGAACACACUCGCACGCACACAUCCAUUACUCUUAAGAAGUUAAGAGGAAUGAACUUUCAGGCAAAAAUUUCAAAAAACCUAGAA